GUUAUUUUGGCAGAAUAGUGCAAUAGAUUUAGAAUCUUUAUAUGUAAUUUAAUUACAAAUAAUA
This 64-nucleotide transfer RNA is filed under the name Cucujoidea sp. 11 KM-2017. Its description in RNAcentral is "tRNA-Leu". It matches the Rfam family "tRNA". Rfam says of the family: Transfer RNA (tRNA) molecules are approximately 80 nucleotides in length. Their secondary structure includes four short double-helical elements and three loops (D, anti-codon, and T loops). RNAcentral also lists the same sequence under 1 other name. The record is from RNAcentral. Lineage: Eukaryota; Metazoa; Arthropoda; Insecta; Coleoptera.